AUUUACAUACCACGUAGUUAAUAUAAAAC
RNAcentral lists this non-coding RNA (29 nucleotides) under Clostridioides difficile. Lineage: Bacteria; Bacillati; Bacillota; Clostridia; Peptostreptococcales; Peptostreptococcaceae. The record is from RNAcentral.